This 381-nucleotide ribosomal RNA is filed under the name uncultured bacterium. RNAcentral's name for it is "bacterial SSU rRNA". It matches the Rfam family "Bacterial small subunit ribosomal RNA", at positions 29 to 414 of the family's 1533-position model. The record is from RNAcentral.
AUUGAACGCUGGCGGCAUGCCUUACACAUGCAAGUCGAACGGCAGCACGGGAGCAAUCCUGGUGGCGAGUGGCGAACGGGUGAGUAAUAUAUCGGAACGUGCCCGGUCGUGGGGAUAACGUAGCGAAAGCUACGCUAAUACCGCAUACGAUCUACGGAUGAAAGCGGGGGAUCGCAAGACCUCGCGCGAUUGGAGCGGCCGAUAUCAGAUUAGGUAGUUGGUGAGGUAAAGGCUCACCAAGCCGACGAUCUGUAGCUGGUCUGAGAGGACGACCAGCCACACUGGGACUGAGACACGGCCAGACUCCUACGGAGGCAGCAGUGGGGAAUUUUGGACAAUGGGCGCAAGCCUGAUCCAGCAAUGCCGCGUGCAGGAUGAAGG